Massospora cicadina is the source of this 76-nucleotide non-coding RNA. The record is from the annotation of a GenBank genome assembly. Lineage: Eukaryota; Fungi; Entomophthoromycota; Entomophthoromycetes; Entomophthorales; Entomophthoraceae.
GGGGCUUUUCUAAAAAAAUGGAUAAGGCAUGAGUCUAUGGAACUCAAGAUUCCAGGUUUGAUCCCUGGCAGGAUCA